Molecule: microRNA precursor, 129 nt
Filed under: Oryza rufipogon (brownbeard rice)
Lineage: Eukaryota; Viridiplantae; Streptophyta; Magnoliopsida; Poales; Poaceae
Description: MIR812 microRNA precursor family
Rfam family: MIR812 microRNA precursor family
Source: Rfam by way of RNAcentral
AAUAAGUGCAGUUUUGCACUAUUCACGUUCAACGUUUGACCGUCCGUCUUAUUUGAAAAAUNAUAAAAAAAUUUCAAAUAAGACGGACGGUCAAACGUUGAACGUGAAUAGUGCAAAACUGCACUUAUU